AACGAACGCUGGCGGCAUGCCUAACACAUGCAAGUCGAACGAGACCUUCGGGUCUAGUGGCGCACGGGUGCGUAACGCGUGGGAACCUUCCCUUAGGUUCGGAAUAACUCUCCGAAAGGGGUGCUAAUACCGGAUAAUGUCUUCGGACGAAAGAUUUAUCGCCUUUGGAUGGGCCCGCGUUGGAUUAGCUAGUUGGUAGGGUAAAAGCCUACCAAGGCGACGAUCCAUAGCUGGUCUGAGAGGAUGAUCAGCCACACUGGGACUGAGACACGGCCCAGACUCCUACGGGAGGCAGCAGUGGGGAAUAUUGGACAAUGGGCGAAAGUCUGAUCCAGCAAUGCCGCGUAAGUGAUGAAGGCCUUAGGGUUGUAAAGCUCUUUUACCCGGGAUGAUAAUGACAGUACCGGGAGAAUAAGCUCCGGCUAACUCCGUG
RNAcentral lists this ribosomal RNA (433 nucleotides) under uncultured bacterium. RNAcentral describes it as "partial 16S ribosomal RNA". It matches the Rfam family "Bacterial small subunit ribosomal RNA", at positions 29 to 507 of the family's 1533-position model. The record is from RNAcentral.